This 212-nucleotide unclassified non-coding RNA is filed under the name fungal sp. RNAcentral's name for it is "partial internal transcribed spacer region". The stretch from base 1 to 46 matches the Rfam family "Eukaryotic small subunit ribosomal RNA", at positions 1786 to 1831 of the family's 1831-position model. The record is from RNAcentral. Lineage: Eukaryota; Fungi.
AAGUCGUAACAAGGUAUCCGUAGGUGAACCUGCGGAUGGAUCAUUACAAAGUUGUGCACGUAAUUUACGUAACACUUAACUUUGACCACUUGUCAACUGUUGUGUACAUGGUUCAUUCAUACCGAAUCAUAUCACAUAUUUUUUAACUAUCAAACUGACAUGUUGUAACAAUUAACAGCAUAAAACUUUUAGCAACGGAUCUCUAGGCUCUC